UCGAAAGCAAAAGUAGAAGACGCUUUCAAUAUCCAGACACGAAUAUUUCGUGGUCCUUUCGAGGCAACAUUGGAUUACCUUUUGUCAUUUUACUGUUCUUUCGUGUUAGUAUUGUUGUUAUAAGCGAUGGGGCUCCGCAGCAGGUCUUCGGAUAUGACGCUGAGAAAAGAGAGACGGCUUCAUAUGAAACCACUCCCACCUCCAUUCCACAGCUGCAAAAGAUAAUAAAUUGGGUUAUGUACAGUGAACUCCUGAGAAGUUUCAGGCAAAACUCAAAAAGCACCUCCCUUUUAGAGCCUCCACAGUAGAUAACUGCUACUGGUCUUAUUAUGAAUAGGAUGGACUGUAGUAAAGACUUCAAGGCCUGUUUCCAAGGACACCACCAUGGCACAAUGCAUGCAUAAUGGAAACUAGAACUUUUUCAAGAAAUGUCAACAAUUAUUGGAACCUUACCUUAGAUGCGACAAGCAAGUAAGGCAAUGUCAGACGUUUGAUUUUCAAAUGACCUGUUUUCAAAUGUAUAAUAUUUACUUAAUACACAUUUUAGGAAUGCUUCUGUUUGAAAUGAUGUAUUAUACUGUACAUUAAGUGCAAAUGUAAUAAAGCACCUUCUUUACAAAAA
Molecule: long non-coding RNA, 622 nt
Organism: Pygocentrus nattereri (red-bellied piranha)
Lineage: Eukaryota; Metazoa; Chordata; Actinopteri; Characiformes; Serrasalmidae
Exons: 2
Source: RefSeq, a predicted model, not a curated record